RNAcentral lists this ribosomal RNA (164 nucleotides) under uncultured bacterium. RNAcentral's name for it is "partial 16S rRNA". It matches the Rfam family "Bacterial small subunit ribosomal RNA", at positions 355 to 511 of the family's 1533-position model. The record is from RNAcentral.
UAGGGAAUCUUCCACAAUGGGCGAAAGCCUGAUGGAGCAACGCCGCGUGUGUGAUGAAGGGUUUCGGCUCGUAAAACACUGUUGCAAGAGAAGAAUGACAUUGAGAGUAACUGUUCAAUGUGUGACGGUAUCUUACCAGAAAGGAACGGCUAAAUACGUGCCCG